ACCCCCUGGAGAGACCUGAAAAUAGCUGUGCAGCAACGCUUCCCAUCCAACCAGCCAAAGCUUGAGAGGAUCAGCAGAGAAGAAUGGGAGAAACUGCCCAAAUACAGGUGUGCCAAGCUUGUAGCGUCAUACCCAAGAAGACUCGAGGCUGGAAUCGGUGCCAAAGGUGUUUCAACAAAGUACUGAGUAAAGGCUCUGAAUACUUAUGUAAAUGUCUGGAGGCCCAGCCGCUGCCGUCCUUGGGGACGAUGUUAACGUUGGGGUCGUUGCCCUUAUUCUCUGCCUUCAAACUGGGCAGGUUGGCAGGGGGGGGCAUGCGUCGACUGACGGCAACCUUUCCCAAACUCUGGAGCCCAUGUCUGGCAGCAACU
Molecule: long non-coding RNA, 371 nt
Filed under: Salmo salar (Atlantic salmon)
Lineage: Eukaryota; Metazoa; Chordata; Actinopteri; Salmoniformes; Salmonidae
Description: lncRNA (ENSSSAG00000097652.1)
Source: RNAcentral